This 482-nucleotide unclassified non-coding RNA is filed under the name Hevea brasiliensis (rubber tree). The record is from RNAcentral. Lineage: Eukaryota; Viridiplantae; Streptophyta; Magnoliopsida; Malpighiales; Euphorbiaceae.
CAGGCUACAUCUUUACACAUUUUUAUGUGGUUAUAAAGUUAUAAUAUUACAUCAUACAAAAACAGCAAUGCCACUCAAUAUAAUUUCUCUCUUAUGUACAAGGAUUUAUCGUUGCUCACCCCCCUAACAUUGAGCAAUUUUGAUAUCAAUUGAAGAUCAAGGUAUGAUGCAUUGUAUGUCCAUGAGCAAUUUCUAACUCGUCGACAUAACAAACAACCCCUUUCAUCUUUUGUCAUCAAAUGCUUUAGCUUUUUCUACAGAUUCCAUUGCUUCUUCAAACGAUUUUCCAGAAUUUCGCAUCUUCCAUAGUGCCUCCCCACCUGCAUCAACUACAUAUGUUGCACCUAACAAUACACCGGCAAGUGCAGCAUUGAGGAGAAACGCCCUUGUCGUCAUGAACCGCAGAACCAUCUCGAAUUUGGUAACAAUACUUGCAGAACCGCCGGCAUCAGCAGGCCGACUAUACCCAUACCCAUAAUUGU